CCUACGGGAGGCUGCAGUGGGGAAUAUUGGACAAUGGGGGGAACCCUGAUCCAGCCAUGCCGCGUGUGUGAAGAAGGCCCUCGGGUUGUAAAGCACUUUCAGUGAGGAAGAACGCCUGGUGGUUAAUACCCAUCAGGAAAGACAUCACUCACAGAAGAAGCACCGGCUAACUCCGUGCCAGCAGCCGCGGUAAUACGGAGGGUGCGAGCGUUAAUCGGAAUUACUGGGCGUAAAGCGCGCGUAGGUGGCUUGAUAAGCCGGUUGUGAAAGCCCCGGGCUCAACCUGGGAACGGCAUCCGGAACUGUCAAGCUAGAGUGCAGGAGAGGAAGGUAGAAUUCCCGGUGUAGCGGUGAAAUGCGUAGAGAUCGGGAGGAAUACCAGUGGCGAAGGCGGCCUUCUGGACUGACACUGACACUGAGGUGCGAAAGCGUGGGUAGCAAACAGGAUUAGAAACCCCAGUAGUC
This 465-nucleotide ribosomal RNA is filed under the name Vreelandella stevensii. RNAcentral describes it as "partial 16S ribosomal RNA". It matches the Rfam family "Bacterial small subunit ribosomal RNA", at positions 338 to 795 of the family's 1533-position model. The record is from RNAcentral. Lineage: Bacteria; Pseudomonadati; Pseudomonadota; Gammaproteobacteria; Oceanospirillales; Halomonadaceae.